GAUGGUGCUCUUUCCCACUAAAUGAGCAGUUAUCAAAAACUCAUACAAAGGAAGAAGUAAUGCUAGCAAGACCAACACCCUGAUCUUCUCCUCAACCUUCUCAUCUACACUGAGAAGAUCGGUGAGAAUAUUUUGAAAGUGACUGAGAUACUCCUACACACUCUAUCCUUCAUUCAUCUGCAAUUGGUAGAAUUAUCUUCAUAAAAAAAGAGC
This 213-nucleotide long non-coding RNA is filed under the name Elaeis guineensis (African oil palm). RNAcentral describes it as "long non-coding RNA (EGUI_LNC055338)". Lineage: Eukaryota; Viridiplantae; Streptophyta; Magnoliopsida; Arecales; Arecaceae. The record is from RNAcentral.